This 66-nucleotide microRNA precursor is filed under the name Marmota monax (woodchuck). The record is from RNAcentral. Lineage: Eukaryota; Metazoa; Chordata; Mammalia; Rodentia; Sciuridae.
UCUUAUAGAUAAGCAAGGAAAGUGUUUUCUUUAGGUGGAAUCUACUCCUGGUGAAGACGCAGUGAA